UAUCUCUGUAGAGUCUGCAUAUCAAUAAGCGGAGGAAAAGAAACUAACAAGGAUUCCCUUAGUAACGGCGAGUGAAGCGGGAAGAGCUCAAAUUUGAGAUCUUCAAGGUUCUACCUUGACGAAUUGUAGUUUAAAGAAGUGUUUUCUGUUAGAUGAGUAGCAAAAGUUCCUUGGAAUGGGACAUCAUAGAGGGUGAGAAUCCCGUAUUUGGUUAUUCAUUCUAGCUUUGUGAUACACUUUCAAAGAGUCGGAUUGUUUGGGAAUGCAGUCCAAAAUGGGUGGUAAAUUUCAUCUAAAGCUAAAUAUUGGCGAGAGACCGAUAGCGAACAAGUACCGUGAGGGAAAGAUGAAAAGAACUUUGAAAAGAGAGUUAAACAGUACGUGAAAUUGUCAAAAGGGAAGCGUUUGACACCAGUGUUGUUUUUCCGAAAAUCAAUUACGAAUGGCUUGAUUUUGUGUUGUAUUGACCUUAUCAGCUUUCUUCACUUUUUUCGAGUCUUUCUUAAUGCACUUUUCGGUUAACAAGUCAACAUCAAUUUCUUUUGUUGUAAAAGAGUAUUCGGAAGGUGGCUUUCUUUUCGGAGAAAGUGUUUAUAGCCCUAUACUUCUACAAUCGGAGAGAUUGAGGUCUGCAGCGUAGAUCCUUCGGGGUUAGAUACAUUUGUGCUAAGUUGUAGCUUUUCAUAGACAACUUGUUGACUAUGUUUAGUCAUGCGGCUUACUCGCUUAUGCUAUUUUACCUACGCUUAGGAUGUUGACUGAUAUGUAGUCGUA
Molecule: ribosomal RNA, 774 nt
Filed under: uncultured Neocallimastigales
Lineage: Eukaryota; Fungi; Neocallimastigomycota; Neocallimastigomycetes; Neocallimastigales
Description: partial large subunit ribosomal RNA
Rfam family: Eukaryotic large subunit ribosomal RNA
Source: RNAcentral